Molecule: long non-coding RNA, 993 nt
Filed under: Homo sapiens (human)
Lineage: Eukaryota; Metazoa; Chordata; Mammalia; Primates; Hominidae
Description: HSALNT0303196
Source: RNAcentral
AGCAACACAGCUCUCCCUUUCUAGAAACAGGGUUUCCCCUCCAGGCUUGGAUUCUUAAAUCUAAAAAGAGCCUCUCACCUGAGGCCUUCACCUGAGAGCUGGAGCCUGUGCGAUGGAUUAUCUGGACAGGGACCCCAAUGAACAGGGCUCUGCUGGAGUGAGGAAGCUGACUGAGGGAAGAACCAGAAGGCUGCCAAAAUACAAUUGUGUGCCUUUAAAGGAAAUAACAACAAGAAUUAGGAGCGCCCUGGAGGCAAGGUCUGCUGCUGGGGAAACCAAACCACAGUAACUUCAGAAAUAUAUACUUGGAAUAUGUCAUGUAUUAAUGGGUAAAGACACCGUGGAUAUGAAGGAAAUCACCUAUGGGAGAAUAUUAAGAAGAGAAGAAGGGGCUGCUGGCUGUAGUGAAAUGUAUAAAAAGGAGAGUGUGAUCCUAGUUUCUGUCUCUAACUAUGAGUUACUUGUGAUUAACUUCAAAUAUUCUCUCCAUAAGAAGAGGCCCAGAAGAAGAAGAUGAGCUUCAGUUAUUCUAGCACAACUGCUGUGAUAUUUGUAAAUAUUCAAAACCUAUAAUAAAAUGUAUAAAAGGAAACUCCAUUUGAAAUGAUUUGAAAUCUCACAUGGAAAUCUAUUUUUUUUAAAUCAGAGCUUAGUAAGAGAAAAUAACAGAACAUUGUAAUAAUUGAAUUACAAAAACAACUGAAUUUUGGAAAAUUUAUUUUCUCUCAUGUGAUGUGUGUGUAUGUGUGUGUGUGUGUGUGUGUAUCUAUUUAGCAAUGGCGUUAUUCUAUCAAAUGGGAUUAGAUUCAUUUUUGACUCCUGCUAAGCACCCUGUCCCCCCAACCCCAAGAUUAUGAAAGCGGAAGGGAAGGGGGAGAUAGGAAAUAUGACUUAUUUAAACUGUAUAAAAAUGCUGAAAUAAAAUGAACAUUCAAAACUCAUGUGAUUGAAUUUAAUCUUUCUUUUGUUCAACACAUUCACUGAGGAAAUCUG